UGGAGGCGUGCUUAACACAUGCAAGUCGCGCGAGAAAGGGGCUUCGGUCCUGAGUAGAGCGGCGCACGGGUGAGUAACGCGUGGGUGAUCUCCCCUGGUGAUCGGGAUAACAGCUGGAAACGGCUGCUAAUACCGGAUAAUCUUCAUGUUCAACUUCAUGGGGUAAAGGUGGCCUCUGCUUGCAAGCUACCACAUCAGGAUGAGCCCGCGUCUCAUUAGCUAGUUGGUGGGGUAACGGCCUACCAAGGCGACGAUGAGUAGCUGGUCUGAGAGGAUGACCAGCCACACUGGGACUGGAACACGGCCCAGACUCCUACGGGAGGCAGCAGUGGGGAAUAUUGCGCAAUGGGCGAAAGCCUGACGCAGCGACGCCUCGUGAGGGAUGAAGGGUUCCUUCGGAUCGUAAACCUCUGUCAAGAGGGAAGAAACCAUUGAAGUCGAACAGGCUUCUUUGCUGACGGUACCUCUGAAGGAAGCAUCGGCUAACUCCGUGCCAGCCGCUGC
Molecule: ribosomal RNA, 504 nt
Filed under: uncultured bacterium
Lineage: Bacteria
Description: bacterial SSU rRNA
Rfam family: Bacterial small subunit ribosomal RNA
Source: RNAcentral